UACAGGGGGGGCAAGCGUUGUUCGGAAUUACUGGGCGUAAAGGGCUCGUAGGUGGCCAACUAAGUCAGACGUGAAAUCCCUCAGCUUAACUGGGGAACUGCGUCUGAUACUGGAUGGCUUGAGUAUGGGAGAGGGAUGUAGAAUUCCAGGUGUAGCGGUGAAAUGCGUAGAUAUCUGGAGGAAUACCGGUGGCGAAGGCGGCAUCCUGGACCAUUACUGACGCUGAGGCGCGAAAGCUAGGGGAGCAAACGGG
RNAcentral lists this ribosomal RNA (253 nucleotides) under uncultured bacterium. RNAcentral describes it as "partial 16S ribosomal RNA". It matches the Rfam family "Bacterial small subunit ribosomal RNA", at positions 524 to 776 of the family's 1533-position model. The record is from RNAcentral.